RNAcentral lists this unclassified non-coding RNA (383 nucleotides) under Hevea brasiliensis (rubber tree). Lineage: Eukaryota; Viridiplantae; Streptophyta; Magnoliopsida; Malpighiales; Euphorbiaceae. The record is from RNAcentral.
AAAAAAAAAAAAAAAAAAAGAUACGUAAUACCCUUCCAAUAACAACCAGCAACAAUUCAAUGCUUGAGGAGAGCUACAAUGACUGGUACCCUAUGUGAAAAAAAAAAAUAUAAGAGAGUGUGACUAUAGUGUGGGGGGUGAUUGACGAAUAGAGAAGAUCCUGUAGUCUUAAAAUCAAAUGUAGAAAAUGAAAAAUCAUUUUAUUGAACUAGAGGAUACCCCUUCACCACUGUUUUCCAGAGAAAGAAAGGACUGAGCUUACUCAGUUGCAACAGUGAUGGGAAUUGGUUUUGAAGCAGAUUAGCAGAAUCCAAGUAGACGAGUGUGUUUCCAUUUCUUUGUCUCGCUCUUAUCUGUGCUUAGCUCAUUUGCUCACCAAUUAG